RNAcentral lists this small nuclear RNA (104 nucleotides) under Castor canadensis (American beaver). Lineage: Eukaryota; Metazoa; Chordata; Mammalia; Rodentia; Castoridae. The record is from RNAcentral.
GUGCUCGCUUCGGCAGCACAUCUACUAAAACUGGAGCGAUAUAGAGAUUAGCAUGGCCUCUGUGCAAGGAUAACACUCAAAUUCGCAAAGCGUUCCAUAUUAAA